AAUGAACGUUGGCGGCGUGGAUUAGGCAUGCAAGUCGAGCGUGAUCGGUUCCCUCACCUUGCUUUCUCAUGGGAGAAGGCGCGGUGAGGGGACCGUGAAAGCGGCGAAAGGGAGAGUAACGCGUAGUUACGUACCCCGGGGUCCGGAAUAGCCACGGGAAACUGUGGGUAAUGCCGGAUAACAUCUUCGGAUCAAAGGUGUGAUUCCGCCCUGGGAGCGGACUGCGUUGUACUAGCUUGUUGGUAGGGUAAUGGCCUACCAAGGCUAUGAUGCAUAGCGGGUGUGAGAGCAUGACCCGUCUCACUGGGACUGAGACACUGCCCAGACACCUACGGGAGGCAG
Molecule: ribosomal RNA, 342 nt
Filed under: uncultured Planctomycetota bacterium
Lineage: Bacteria; Pseudomonadati; Planctomycetota
Description: bacterial SSU rRNA
Rfam family: Bacterial small subunit ribosomal RNA
Source: RNAcentral